GACGAACGCUGGCGGCGUGCUUAACACAUGCAAGUCGAACGGGCCCGCCCCUGUUUUUGGGGGUGGGUUGAGUGGCGAACGGGUGAGUAUCACGUGAGUAACCUGCCCCCUGCUCCUGGAUAACUGCUUGAAAGGGCGGCUAAUACGGGGUGUGCCGGCUGGUCCGCAUGGGCCUGGUCGGGAUAGUUUCAUCUUCGGGUGCUUCGGUGGGGGAUGGGCUCGCGGCCUAUCAGCUUGUUGGGGGGGUGAUGGCCCACCAAGGCGGUGACGGGUAGCCGGCCUGAGAGGGUGGGCGGCCACACUGGGACUGAGACACGGCCCAGACUCCUGCGGGAGGCAGCAGUGGGGGGUAUUGCACAAUGGGCGGAAGCCUGAUGCAGCGACGUCGCGUGAGGGAUGGAGGCCUUCGGGUUGUGAACCUCUUUCUCCGGUGGUGAAGGCCCUGUCCGUUGCGGCGGGGUUGACGGUAGCCGGGGAUGAAGCGCCGGCUAACUACGUG
Molecule: ribosomal RNA, 499 nt
Filed under: uncultured bacterium
Lineage: Bacteria
Description: partial 16S ribosomal RNA
Rfam family: Bacterial small subunit ribosomal RNA
Source: RNAcentral